AGGGUGAUUUAUAUAGUUAUAUUUUAUCUAAUUUAGUAAUUAGUCAUUUAUUAAGUAGCAUCAACUUCAAUUGCACCAGCACCUCACAUUCAUCUAAUCACUAUGCAGUGUGUUGUCCAAGUAUGUCCAUGCAUGUCUUUGUGUGUGUGUUUACCUGUAGUGACUAGGAAUGUGUGUGUGUGUGAGUAUGGAAGAGUGUAUGUUACCUGUAUAGGUAGAUACAGGUUGUUACCUGUAUAGGUAUAUACAGGUAAGUAAUAAGGCUUUUGGGUCAAACCAUUAUGUUGGUCACAUGAUUGUCAACAUGGGUUUUAUUGGUUAUGAUAAGAUAGUACAUAUGUUUUUAUUGGUUUAUAUUUUCCCUCCACUUUUAUUGUUUGUGUCUAAGUCUUUGUGUUGAAUCUGGCAGUUUUUCUGCUGGAAGUUCAAGAAGAAGGUACCGGUUCUACCUGUACAUCCGUCCGGCAUUUCAAAAGUUAUGGCGAUAGAUUUCCGACGUGGUUUUGGAAGAUAAAUUCAGUGAUCUACUCCUGUAAGUUUUCUUUCUAUUCUUUACUAACAUGUAUUUCACAUACUCUUGUAAAUAGUAUGAAAUUGUCUAUUUUUGAUGUUGGUUUGAUACAAGUCUGACAAAAUGUUGUAAGACUGAUUUUGUAAAUCCAUAAUAAUCUAUCAAGUGUAUAUCAAGUGUAUACAAUGUAUUAUUGUAAAGACAUAAUGUCAAUAUUGUAUUUUAUGUGGAGAUACCUUAAUUAUUGCAACUUUGCUAAUUAGUAUAUUUUAUUUGUGUAUAGGGCCCUGGGUCAACCUGUUUAGAUCUAAUCAGAAGAUUAGAUUGCCAGAGAAAGUUCAGCCCAUAGCAGAACUUGAAUUGAAUCUGGAAUUUGGUUACUGAACCGAAAUGGAUUGAAUAAAUAAUGAGAACAACC
Molecule: long non-coding RNA, 929 nt
Organism: Pecten maximus
Lineage: Eukaryota; Metazoa; Mollusca; Bivalvia; Pectinida; Pectinidae
Exons: 2
Source: RefSeq, a predicted model, not a curated record